Molecule: long non-coding RNA, 923 nt
Organism: Triticum dicoccoides
Lineage: Eukaryota; Viridiplantae; Streptophyta; Magnoliopsida; Poales; Poaceae
Exons: 4
Source: RefSeq, a predicted model, not a curated record
UGAGCAGCUAGCGACCCAACACACAAAGUUUCUAUCUUCUUAUUUUCUAUACAAGUAGCAGCUGGCGCAGCGGUGGUGUUGAUGAAUGACACCCAAUGCAGAGGCGGCAGUUACCAUAGGGAAGAGGUCAAGAACAUCUAGCUCUUGUGGUGUUCCUCCUCAUUAUUGUCAUCGCCAUCAACAGCAACAAUGACGACCGGCUCAUGAGACAGCUACUAGAGAGGGAGCGAGGAAGGGGGAGACAGAUCUUUCAGGUACAAUGGAUCUCGGUCAAAAAUCACCUAAGGAAAAUAUGUUGUUCUUCUCUACAAGGGUUGCAUGUGGAAUUUGAGGAGAAUCUGUGCACCAGCAUCCGACUCCUUGAUGUUGCUCUGAUCAUAUUGUGUAAAUAUAUUUCUAAUAAAGCAAUCGCCCGAUGGUGUACAUGUUAUAAAUAACAAGAAUCAUCAAGUGUGAGAGAUGGCAACAUCAUGAUGGGAUGAUGGAUUGACAAGUACCAAAGAUUGAUGCCAAGCAGAACUAAAACCUAUCCAUGGAUUACCUUCAGUCCCGCAUUCCAAUCAACAACAUUGGGCUGAGUGAGCGCGCGGGUGGCGCAAGAGGCAAUGGGCAGCCGGUGGAGACUGAGUGGAGAGCGGCGGUGGCAAGGUCGAGAGGUUGGCACCAGCGGCGAGUAGGCAAUUACCGUGACGGGCGAGCGGACGGGGCUUCCAGCCAAAUCAAUCAGCCAAGGGCCAUUAUGUACGUGAGUGUGUUAGCUGUGGGUAUAUCUGAAGAUUAUUUCUCAACUCGGCAUGUGGGUAGAGACUAAAAAGACAAUGCCAUGGUAGCAUGGCAGACCUGGCAAGUGCUACGAACAUCAUGAUAUUCUUCCUUUUCUUAAUUCCUUGAUUUGAAAAAUAAUUUGCUCUGCAUGUAUAGGA